GGCGACUUGGCCGAGCGGUCUAAGGCGCCGCACUCAAGUUGCGGUCUCGAAAGAGGCGUAGGUUCGAGUCCUACAGUCGUCA
Non-coding RNA from Bifiguratus adelaidae, 82 nucleotides. The record is from the annotation of a GenBank genome assembly. Lineage: Eukaryota; Fungi; Mucoromycota; Endogonomycetes; Endogonales.